This 18-nucleotide small nuclear RNA is filed under the name Arabidopsis thaliana (thale cress). RNAcentral describes it as "snRNA_05906". The record is from RNAcentral. Lineage: Eukaryota; Viridiplantae; Streptophyta; Magnoliopsida; Brassicales; Brassicaceae.
ACACGGAAUCGAGAGCUC